CUUCAGCGAGCCGACGAGCACGGGCCGCUCGCGGUCCUGCCCGUAGGUGGCGAGCAGGGCCUGCGCCUC
This is a non-coding RNA of Streptomyces nodosus, 69 nucleotides long. It matches the Rfam family "ASpks TB sRNA". The record is from Rfam. NCBI's taxonomy places the organism in Bacteria, Bacillati, Actinomycetota, Actinomycetes, Kitasatosporales, Streptomycetaceae.